RNAcentral lists this small nuclear RNA (107 nucleotides) under Salvator merianae (Argentine black and white tegu). The record is from RNAcentral. Lineage: Eukaryota; Metazoa; Chordata; Lepidosauria; Squamata; Teiidae.
GUGCUUGCUUCGGCAGCACAUAUACUAAAACCGGAACAAUACAGAGAAGAUUAGCAUGGUCCCUGUGCAAGGAUGACAUGCAAAUUGGUGUCAAAUUCCUUAUUUUU